RNAcentral lists this ribosomal RNA (121 nucleotides) under uncultured bacterium. Its description in RNAcentral is "partial 16S ribosomal RNA". It matches the Rfam family "Bacterial small subunit ribosomal RNA", at positions 1413 to 1532 of the family's 1533-position model. The record is from RNAcentral.
GAUUGCACCAGAAGUAGAUAGUCUAACCUUAGGGAGGGCGUUUUACCACGGUGUGCUUCAUGACUGGGGUGAAGUCGUAACAAGGUAACCGUAGGGGAACCUGUGGCUGGAUCACCUCCUU